UCGAGGAUCUUCGGCAAUGGGGGCAACCCUGACCGAGCGAUGCCGCGUGGGCGACGAAGGCCUUCGGGUUGUAAAGCCCUGUCGAGGGGGAGAAAAGCCCGCGAGGGUGUGAUCUAUCCCUGGAGGAAGCACGGGCUAAGUUCGUGCCAGCAGCCGCGGUAAGACGAACCGUGCGAACGUUGUUCGGAAUCACUGGGCUUAAAGGGCGCGUAGGCUGGCGGCCGCGUCCGGGGUGAAAUCCGCCGGCUCAACCGGCGGCGUGCCUCGGGUACGGGCGGCCUCGAGGGGGGUAGGGGCCCGCGGAACUGUGGGUGGAGCGGUGAAAUGCGUUGAUAUCCACAGGAACUCCGGUGGCGAAGGCGGCGGGCUGGACCCCAUCUGACGCUGAGGCGCGAAAGCCAGGGGAGCGAACGG
This 414-nucleotide ribosomal RNA is filed under the name uncultured bacterium. RNAcentral's name for it is "bacterial SSU rRNA". It matches the Rfam family "Bacterial small subunit ribosomal RNA", at positions 355 to 775 of the family's 1533-position model. The record is from RNAcentral.